Molecule: ribosomal RNA, 497 nt
Filed under: uncultured bacterium
Lineage: Bacteria
Description: partial 16S ribosomal RNA
Rfam family: Bacterial small subunit ribosomal RNA
Source: RNAcentral
GAUGAACGCUGGCGGCGUGCCUAAUACAUGCAAGUCGAGCGAACAGACGAGGAGCUCGCUCUUCUGACGUUAGCGACGGACGGGUAAGUAAUACGUGGUUAACCUACCUCUAAGACUGGGGUAAGUUCGGGAAACCGGAGCUACUACCGGGUAAUAUAUUGAACCGGAUGGUUCAAUAGUGAAAGACGGUUUUGAUGAGACUUAUAGCUGUAACCGCGCUGCUGUAGUUAGUUGGUAAGGUAACGGCUUACCAAGGCAACGAUGCGUAGCCGACCUGAGAGGGUGAUCGGCCACACUGGAACUGAGAGACGGCCCAGACUCUGACGGGAGGCAGAAGUAGGGAAUCUUCCGCAAUGGGCGAAAGCUUGACGGAGCAACGCCGCGUGAGUGAUGAAGGUCUUCGGGUCGUAAAACUCUGUUAUUAUGGAAGAACAAAUGUGUAAGUAACUAUGCACGUCUUGACGGUACCUAAACAGAAAGCCACGGCUAACUACGUG